This 2020-nucleotide long non-coding RNA is filed under the name Homo sapiens (human). RNAcentral's name for it is "non-protein coding lnc-CROCC-2:2". The record is from RNAcentral. Lineage: Eukaryota; Metazoa; Chordata; Mammalia; Primates; Hominidae.
UCCAGCUCGUUCGCCUGAGCAAAGACAGUGGCUUCUGAUAGCAGCAGCUUCUCCUGGAGAUCUUGAUAGCGUUGUUUGCAUUGUGACAGCUGGGAGCGCAGGUGCUGGGUGGACCCUGGUGGGCUAAACGCUGAUUGGGCCCAGUGUCACAAGGCUGGGACUGGUUCUCCAACUGUGAAAGGGGCCAAGACAAGGAUCAGGACAGUCCGAGGCCACCCCCAUGCAGUGAUGACCACGGCCCGUUGUGAACCCCGUGGACUUUACUCAAGUCUGUCACAGCACUUCUCAUGCCAUUUGGCAGUGACUUGCUUUCCAGAUGGAGCUCCUGGAGUGCUGGGAUAAUGUUUUCUUCAUAUCUGUAUCCACAGCACACAGCACAGCGCCAAUCAAGUCUACAGAGGAGCUCUUAGGAAACGUUUUCUCAGUGGUCAAAAAGAGAAGGGGUGGAACCCUCCACUCAUCUCCCCUCACAUUCUGUGCCAUCGAUUCUCUCAGAAUCCCCUGUAUUCCCCAUUUUACUGAAUCUUCAGCAUGGCUCCUCCCCUAAACAGGAUCCCAAUAACCCAUCUGAGGUCCAGGAACAGACACCUGUGAUGAGCUGUGACCAAAAAAAAAAAAAAAAAUGGCAUUGAUAAGGAAGGGAUGUCAUUACAUACUACUUGUCUGGGCUGCCUCAUAACCUGAUGCAUCCCUAUGUUACAGCAGUUACCCCCUCCUAUUAAAAUUACCUGUUUAUGUGCCAUCUUUCCUUACCAUAUUAAGUAUCUCAAGGGCAGCCAUUGGUUUUAUUGCCCCAUGCCAAUGCCUAGUGUGUUAUCUGAAAAAUUAAGUACUCAAGAAAUAUUUAUAUUGUAAAAGGCUUUCUAAAGGCUGAAUGUAGGCUGAAUAUUAUUACUGUUGUUUGUGGUACAAAGAGACCUUUCUCUUGGUACCUCUUGAUUCACAUGGGAGAACGUUUUAAAGUAAACACUGUCAUCUCGAGCCCUUCUCCAGUGGUUUUUCAUUCCAUCUAAGCCUACAUUGACUUGGUGGGCAUCCACUGUGAAGGUAGCCCCAAGGUCAAGGCUCUGGGGUCUGGGGCAAGGCCUCACAGUCACAUUCCCCUCCUCUUGGUGUUGGUGCUUCCCAGGAGAACCAACCAGUUCUGUGUUUAUUCUGUCGAUGGUGCUGGUCAGAUGCACAAGGAGCUCUGGAGUAAGUUUACUAUUCCCUUCUUUGCUACUCAGCACAAGUUGUUCUUGAGGAGGUUGAUGAUAUUGUGGGCAUUCUUCAGUUUUCCCUGGAGCUUUCUGAACUCAGCCUGAAGACUACUCUCACUCAGACCCUCUUUGGCAACCACAGUCUCAACCACCACCUUGCCCUUCUCCUUGUCUUCCUCAAUCUCCCAUCCCUCAGACAUUUCUGCUCUUUCAGCUCUGCAUUCUCAAGGCAAAGAUGGGUUCUGGGUCUCCACAGUUGCCAGACUUUUCUCCAAAGCCACCUUGAGGAACUAAAAGAAAAUCAUGCUUUGAAGAAGUUAGGCCAUUAAAGAGGGCCCAAGAGAAACAUGAGAUUGCAAAGGUAGUUUUUGAUGAGAACAAAAACAAACAAAAAAAGCAGAUCUAAAAUGAACUCCCUACCCAGAACCUCCUUAGUCAGGCAAUAAGAGCAAUAAGAUCUCAAGACUAAGUUUUAUGUGACAAGAGUGAAACCCCAUCUCAAAAAAAGAAAAAAAAAAUUUUUUUUUUUUUUCAGAAUGAGGUCUCACUGCAUUGCCCAGGCUGGUCUCAAACUUCUGGACUCAAGUGGUCCCCCUGCCUUGGCCUCUCAAAGUGCUGGGAUUACAUGUGUAAGCCACCAUGCCUGGCCAAAGACUUACUUUUACAGGAGGAGUAUAAAACAUCUCAUUAGUAAUUUUCAUAAUUGAUUAUGUGUCGAAAUAAUAUUUUUGAUAUUUUGUGUCAAGUAACACUACUAAAAUUAAGCUCACCUAUAUCCUUCUACAUUUUCACUGUGGCUACUAGAAAAUUUUAAAUUACAU